AUACUCUACCCGUACCGCAAACCGACACAGGUAGUCGAGGCGAGUAGCCUCAGGUGAUCGAGAGAACUCUCGUUAAGGAACUCGGCAAAAUGACCCCGUAACUUCGGGAGAAGGGGUGCUGACUUACGUCAGCCGCAGUGAAUAGGCCCAAGCAACUGUUUAUCAAAAACACAGCUCUCUGCUAAAUCGUAAGAUGAUGUAUAGGGGGUGACGCCUGCCCGGUGCUGGAAGGUUAAGAGGAGGGUUUAGCGUAAGCGAAGAUCUGAAUUGAAGCCCCAGUAAACGGCGGCCGUAACUAUAACGGUCCUAAGGUAGCGAAAUUCCUUGUCGGGUAAGUUCCGACCCGCACGAAAGGCGUAAUGAUUUGGGCACUGUCUCAACGAGAGACUCGGUGAAAUUUUAGUACCUGUGAAGAUGCAGGUUACCCGCGACAGGACGGAAAGACCCCAUGGAGCUUUACUGCAGUUUGAUAUUGAGUAUCUGUACCACAUGUACAGGAUAGGUAGGAGCCAUUGAAGUCGGGACGCCAGUUUCGACGGAGGCGUUGUUGGGAUACUCCCCUUGUGUUAUGGCUACUCUAACCCGGAUAGGUUAUCCCUAUCGGAGACA
This 609-nucleotide ribosomal RNA is filed under the name Streptococcus dysgalactiae subsp. equisimilis. RNAcentral describes it as "bacterial LSU rRNA". It matches the Rfam family "Bacterial large subunit ribosomal RNA", at positions 1633 to 2253 of the family's 2925-position model. Lineage: Bacteria; Bacillati; Bacillota; Bacilli; Lactobacillales; Streptococcaceae. The record is from RNAcentral.